GUGAAAGCCAGCAAAUACCAUCGAUCUAAACCUAAUUCUUUGCAAUAGGGACGGCAGAAAUCAAUAAAUUCUGCAUAGUCAGUGUAGAAAGCGAGGCGAGGGUGAGGUGGUUGUUCAGCAACGACGGAGCGGAACAAUUUGAUUGAAGGCCACACUGGUUUCAAAGAAAGUUAACUUAUGUCUACUUCAUUUCGACAACUAAAUAAUGAACAGUGCUCAAAACUAGGUGGCCAAUUCAGUGAUUAUGAUCGUGCAAAAAAUCAUUUUUUCAUUGACGACAGGUAAUAACCUCUUCAAUACAUUUGGCACAGGAAAUGACUGAGAAUAUUAUGGGCGUUGUAAUUUCAUUAAAGGAUGGCGUACCACGAUGUCUAAGCGUCCAGCUUGGAUAGGACGGUAGCCCUAUUAAUGGUCUCUGCGACAACAGAUAUCCGCGCGACUGAUUAUAGCUUUUACCGUCCAGAACCAGCAGUUUCUUUUAUAACAGGCUCUGAGCGACAGGCAUUUGUCUGUGGUCUCGGCAAUCGUUAUGCAACAUAUCAGACGAAGUUUCAUCUAUAAGUCUAUGGUUUGUUAAAAAGGUAAUUGUUGAUCCGAUCCACUUUGAAGAUAUCCCUCAUAUUUCGAUUGUAUAUAUACGCGAUGAAAGAAGCGGACCCUGUCACCUGCAGGUCUGGUAUCAUCGACGAGCUAAGUAGAAAGGACCUAUGUCAAUAUUUUUCACUAACAAUGUAAUCGGUGUUGUGGUCGAACGAACAAACUGUGUUCCAGACUGUUGAUAAAUGUGGUGUGCGCACACAUGGAUUUUGCCGGCGUCUAGCAAGCGAGAGCUAUUUACAUUAAAGUUAACUAAACUUGGUUCAAUUCAAUCGUCUACGAAACAUUUAGAUGUACCUAUAAUGACUUGAAUUUAGGCGUCAAACUACUAAGGACUACUCUUCAGACGAUGAACAGACUUUGGUUAAUUCUUGUCUCAUUCUUCUGUCACUGAAAGUUGAGUGCUGGAGCCGAGGCCUAGGUCGCCGACUUUAUUCUCUGCUUGAAUGGUAAUAUUUUCGGGGCCAAAGACGCAGAACUUAUUCGAAAACAUCAACAGGAUAAGGACGUUUGCCGUACUUCGAAAAUCACGCGCUAGCCAAAAGCGGAUCGGCCACGUAGGGACAGAUUCGAGCUAACGUGAUGUAACAGUGGCGCUGCGCUGGUGAAGGGAGGAAGCCUGCACGAACAAUGAACAUACAUAGAGGGUCGGUUGUAUUCUACCAACGAGAUGAAGGAGGGAGGAGCCUGACGAGCAGCUGAGUCGGCGAUGAACAGAUCUUAUUGGUUGUCGGCGGCGAAGGAAAUGGCGAGAAAGCCAUUCAAGCAUCCGGGUGGAUCAGUCGGGGCGCUAUAGAGUCAAUGCGCUGUGACGACU
Long non-coding RNA from Varroa destructor (honeybee mite), 1414 nucleotides. The record is from RefSeq and is a predicted model, not a curated record. NCBI's taxonomy places the organism in Eukaryota, Metazoa, Arthropoda, Arachnida, Mesostigmata, Varroidae.